UUAUUCUCAUUACACCUAUAAAUAUAUAGACCUGAAUCAAGCGAUUUUCCUAAAUUCCUUGAUAGGUCAACGUCAAAAGACCAAGGUAGCCUGUUGUCACCUGGCAUUUAGCUUUUGACCCUAUGCGCCUAUAAAUUGUGUUUGUGUUAUGGGGAAGGGGGAUUUUGAAAUUAUUGAAUUAUCGGUGCUGGCAAUUACCGAAAAUAAGUACCCAAGUACAGUAAUAAGCCCCUGUGACAGGAUGAAACAGUUUAAAAAGAAAUAAUCUACAGGACA
This 276-nucleotide long non-coding RNA is filed under the name Mytilus galloprovincialis (Mediterranean mussel). Lineage: Eukaryota; Metazoa; Mollusca; Bivalvia; Mytilida; Mytilidae. The record is from RNAcentral.